GACGAACGCUGGCGGCGUGCUUAACACAUGCAAGUCGAACGGGAUCCGGGCUUUCGGGUUUGGUGAGAGUGGCGAACGGGUGAGUAACACGUGAGUAACCUGCCCCCUUCUUUGGGAUAACGUCGGGAAAUCGGCGCUAAUACUGGAUAUUCUUGCUGCAUCGCAUGGUGUGGUUUGGAAAGGGUUUCUGGUGGGGGAUGGGCUCGCGGCCUAUCAGCUUGUUGGUGGGGUGAUGGCCUACCAAGGCUUUGACGGGUAGCCGGCCUGAGAGGGUGUCCGGCCACACUGGGCCUGAGACACGGCCCAGACUCAUACGGGAGGCAGCAGUGGGGAAUAUUGCACGAUGGGCGCAAGCCUGAUGCAGCGACGCCGCGUGAGGGAUGACGGCCUUCGGGUUGUAAACCUCUUUCAGUAUGGAACAAGGAUCCUUCUUUUGGGGGGUUUGAGGGUACGUGCAGAAGAAGCGCCGGCUAACUACGUG
This 481-nucleotide ribosomal RNA is filed under the name uncultured bacterium. RNAcentral's name for it is "partial 16S ribosomal RNA". It matches the Rfam family "Bacterial small subunit ribosomal RNA", at positions 28 to 507 of the family's 1533-position model. The record is from RNAcentral.